UACGUAGACCUCAAGCGUUAUCCGGAUUUAUUGGGCGUAAAGGGUGUGUAGGGGGUUUCAUAAGUCAGACGUUAAAUUUCGGAGCCUAACUUCGAAACCGCGCCUGAUACUGUGAGACUAGAGGGUGCAAGAGGUGCGCGGAACACAUGGUGUAGGGGUGACAUCCGUUGAUAUCAUGUGGAACACCAAAGGCGAAGGCAGCGCACUGGGGCAUUCCUGACCCUGAGACACGAAAGCGUGGGGAGCAAAAAGG
This 253-nucleotide ribosomal RNA is filed under the name uncultured bacterium. Its description in RNAcentral is "partial 16S ribosomal RNA". It matches the Rfam family "Bacterial small subunit ribosomal RNA", at positions 524 to 776 of the family's 1533-position model. The record is from RNAcentral.